Molecule: ribosomal RNA, 253 nt
Filed under: uncultured bacterium
Lineage: Bacteria
Description: partial 16S ribosomal RNA
Rfam family: Bacterial small subunit ribosomal RNA
Source: RNAcentral
UACAGAGGUCCCGAGCGUUGUUCGGAUUCACUGGGCGUAAAGGGUGCGUAGGUGGCGAGGUAAGUCGGAUGUGAAAUCUCCAAGCUUAACUUGGAAAUGGCAUUGGAAACUACCUGGCUAGAGGUUUGGAGGGGGGACUGGAAUGCUUGGUGUAGCAGUGAAAUGCGUAGAUAUCUGGAGGAACACCGGUGGCGAAGGCGGCAUCCUGGACCGGCAUUGACGCUGAGGCGCGAAAGCCAGGGGAGCAAACGGG